AAGUCGUAACAAGGUUUCCGUAGGUGAACCUGCGGAAGGAUCAUUAAAGUAUUAUGAUUUGGCUAUUUCAGUCGAACGUAUUCUUUGUGAAAUCAAUGACUGUAAUGAUGAUUUGGGGUUUAAAGAUGUUCGGCACUCGUGCUGGACGACCCCGAAUCCAUUUCAAAACAAACUACUAUCACUUUGACUGACUAUUUGAUCAAUUCAUAAUUGAAAAAAUAACUUUCAACAACGGAUCUCUUGGUUCUC
Molecule: unclassified non-coding RNA, 249 nt
Filed under: fungal sp.
Lineage: Eukaryota; Fungi
Description: partial internal transcribed spacer region
Rfam family: Eukaryotic small subunit ribosomal RNA (bases 1-46)
Source: RNAcentral